Molecule: non-coding RNA, 284 nt
Organism: Paramuricea clavata
Lineage: Eukaryota; Metazoa; Cnidaria; Anthozoa; Malacalcyonacea; Plexauridae
Source: the annotation of a GenBank genome assembly
UUCAAAUGCGAUAUAAUUUUGGCUUGGACCAUCUAAGCUGACUGACAUCAACUUGCUAUAAUUUCUGUUUACAUUACAUCGCAAUUCGAUGACGCUCUGGCUCAGACACCAGAAUGUUUUGACGAUUUUUAGCAUUCGUUUAGGAUUUUCAAACAACCUGGUCUCUUUUAAAAUCCCUUUAAUUUGUUCUUACGUGGUUUUCCAGAUGUAGUGACGACAACAUUAAAGUUUAAAGAAGAAAAUUCUAACAUUUAAACCGACUAAACAAUAACAUAGUAAACUUG